RNAcentral lists this ribosomal RNA (671 nucleotides) under uncultured Mortierella. RNAcentral's name for it is "eukaryotic LSU rRNA". The stretch from base 227 to 380 matches the Rfam family "5.8S ribosomal RNA". The record is from RNAcentral. Lineage: Eukaryota; Fungi; Mortierellomycota; Mortierellomycetes; Mortierellales; Mortierellaceae.
CUUGGUCAUUUAGAGGAAGUAAAAGUCGUAACAAGGUUUCCGUAGGUGAACCUGCGGAAGGAUUAUUCAUAAUAAGUGUUUUACUGCACUUUUUAAAAAUCAGUAUUCACCUUGUGUGCAAUGUUUGCUGACGAGUUCGCGUUUUUUACGCGUUCUUGGCAGCAUAAUACCAACCCUUUAUUGAAAUUUUUUGUCUGAAGAUUUUUGAAUACAUAAUUCGAAAUACAACUUUUAACAACGGAUCUCUUGGCUCUCGCAUCGAUGAAGAACGCAGCGAAAUGCGAUACGUAAUGUGAAUUGCAGAAUUCAGUGAAUCAUCGAAUCUUUGAACGCACAUUGCGCUCUCUGGUAUUCCGGAGAGCAUGCUUGUUUGAGUAUCAGUAAAACACCCUCAGUUCUCUUUUUGAGAACUGGACUUGAGUCAUCCCAACGGCAGUUUCAAAACUGCUGGCGGGUCGCUUGAAAUGCAGGUGCGGCUGGACACAUCUUCUGAGCUAUAAGCAUUACUUAUUUAAUCCCGUCAGACGGAUUAUUUCUACUGCUACAGCUAUAUAAGGUCGAUUGUCCGUUUGCCCGACUGAUGCAGAAAAAACAGAGAGAAAUCUUUGUUCACUCGAUCUCAAAUCAAGUAAGACUACCCGCUGAACUUAAGCAUAUCAAUAAGCGGAGGA